AGGAAUCACCGUGGUGUCCGCCGCCCAUGAUCUCCAUCAUCCUAUCAUCGAUCUCGUCUCGUCCUAUCAUCGAUCUCGUCUCGUCCUAUCUCGCUACCCAUAUUAUACCAUUAUAAAAUAAGAAAGACGGUCAUUAACUAUUACUACUUAAUCAUGCAUUCCUCUAAUGAAUGUUUGUUUUAAUUUGUAGUAAUCAAUUAGAUGAUCGCCCGUUUGUCAUCAUUUCCUGAAUUUUUAUGUAUUAUUGUAUUUCCUUUGUGUCGCCUCGAUCAUUUUUUCAAUGAGUAUCUUAUAUUAUAAUCAGCUAUUUGUAUUGCUUCAUUUCUUGUUCUGUUCGUGUCGUUUCAUUUCUUGUUCUUUUAUCUGUAAGAAAACUCGAUCGCUUUUUCUUCUCCAUUCAACCGUGAAUCGGAUCGCUCAUCAUGACAACGGCUAAAAUUUACAUUUUCCGUUUAGCUCAAUGAUGUACUUGACAACGACUAUCGCUCAAUUAAGCCUGGAUAAUAAAUUAUCUUA
This 516-nucleotide long non-coding RNA is filed under the name Linum usitatissimum (flax). Its description in RNAcentral is "long non-coding RNA (LUSI_LNC006136)". Lineage: Eukaryota; Viridiplantae; Streptophyta; Magnoliopsida; Malpighiales; Linaceae. The record is from RNAcentral.